Molecule: long non-coding RNA, 1280 nt
Filed under: Linum usitatissimum (flax)
Lineage: Eukaryota; Viridiplantae; Streptophyta; Magnoliopsida; Malpighiales; Linaceae
Description: long non-coding RNA (LUSI_LNC002248)
Source: RNAcentral
ACUGAACACCAAGCCAAUCUCGAUAAAGAAAGUAGGCUGACGGCCUUACCCUUUCGGGGUUCACUUUUAACAUAAGUUCCGCCACUAGGCGGAUGCCUUUACCGAGUCUGAAACUCCUAAACAAAAAAGGCCGGAAAAGUUCUUAUUCAAAUACUUUACGGUUCUUGUAGUUGAAGGUCUUAGUUUUGACUACACAAUGCCAUAGAGCCCGUGAUACCGUAUUCAAAUUUAACUUCCUUCCACACUUAGUCAGCACAAGGACGGGUUCAGAAGGCUUAAAGAUUUUAGAGAAAAUAGCGAAUGAGGAACUUUGUGGUCAAUAGAGAAGAUUAGAGCCGAAGUCCACCGGUUGCUCUUACCAUAAUAAAAUAGAGGCGCAAGUGGCAGGAUGGGAGAAUUUUCAUACAUCGGUUGGACUGUUAUCAUAGUCUAUAUUUGCCUUUGCAAUACUAAGUUCCUAACACUAACUCUCUAAGUCACUUGCCUUUCUACAUACUAAUUUCCUAACACAAAGUUCCUAAUUAGGAUAAACUACUACGUAUCAAGUCUCACCUGUUGGAGAGGGGACACAUGCAUAAUAACAAUAAUGAAAAGCCUUUCUCCCUCCAACUACUUGUUUAACUCCCAACUCCAUGUCGUUUCAUAAAUAACUGCUUGAUAACCUAUAAAGUCAAAUACCGAAAUCCUGCUUGUAAACAACCAAACUUUCUAGAGCACACCGUAUACAAGGCUAGAUCUCAAUCAUGUGCUGGAAAACAUAUUCCAGCAUGUACAUAGAGAACAUGCAAGCUCGUAGACUGUCCACCAUCCUCCCUUUACCUUGCAUGCAGGAGUUUAUGUGCAAUACUACAUAUGAGUCCUUUUAGAGGCACCUAUUUUGCCUGCAAUAACCUAGCUCCGGUAAAGCACCAUCAUGCUUGAUCGUUCUUUCAUUCAUUAGAAUUUGCAGAUCAUUUUGUUAUUUUGUUGAACUUCCCGCUCAAGAUUGUCAGUUAUAUCAACGAGAUAUAGCUGACGAUGAUUGGGAGAAGUCCCCGCUGCAACAUCUUCCUUCAACUAUCAUUUGUUGCUAGCAGGUUCUUCUUUAGCAUGUCGGAUGUUCUCUUGUGUGCAUGUCCCAUUCAAUAAGAAAAUUAUAGCAUAAAAUUCUGAGCAGUUAAAAAACAGAUUACGGCUUCAAGUUCUCAUAGUUGAGUUGUUGGCAGGUUCUCAUAGUUGAGUUGUUGACAGGUCUAUGUCCAAUAUGAUAGUAGCAAAGGAUAUUAUCUGCUACAUUGCCU